AUGGCUCCUACCGAGGCUGAGGCUGAUGUAGAGGAGGGAGAAGAGAAGAAGAAGAGGGAAAGGAAAGCAGCCGGAGCUGCUUUCACGUGGAUUCAAAAUAACUUUGCAACGUGCCCUACGGAUGCCAAUGAUGAUGUGAUCCAGACACAUGCUCGUGUGUAUAUGUGGUACGUUGUGUCGAGGACUUUGUUUCCUGACUCCACUAGCAAGAACGCUCCAUGGAUGUGGCUGAAGGCGUUGACCGUCUUCGAUAGCAAAUGGAGCUGGGGUUCAGCGACUCUUGCCUACUUGUACCGAUAG
RNAcentral lists this ribosomal RNA (300 nucleotides) under Triticum aestivum (bread wheat). RNAcentral's name for it is "partial small subunit ribosomal RNA". The record is from RNAcentral. Lineage: Eukaryota; Viridiplantae; Streptophyta; Magnoliopsida; Poales; Poaceae.